This 254-nucleotide ribosomal RNA is filed under the name uncultured bacterium. RNAcentral's name for it is "partial 16S ribosomal RNA". It matches the Rfam family "Bacterial small subunit ribosomal RNA", at positions 524 to 776 of the family's 1533-position model. The record is from RNAcentral.
GACAGAGGGGGCAAGCGUUGCUCGGAAUUACUGGGCGUAAAGGGCGCGUAGGCGGUCAGCACAAGUCAGUUGUGAAAUCUCCGGGCUUAACUCGGAAAGGUCAACUGAUACUGUGCGACUAGAGUGCAGAAGGGGCAACUGGAAUUCUCGGUGUAGCGGUGAAAUGCGUAGAUAUCGAGAGGAACACCUGCGGCGAAGGCGGGUUGCUGGGCUGACACUGACGCUGAUGCGCGAAAGCCAGGGGAGCGAACGGG